Long non-coding RNA from Teleopsis dalmanni, 751 nucleotides. RefSeq lists it as uncharacterized. NCBI's taxonomy places the organism in Eukaryota, Metazoa, Arthropoda, Insecta, Diptera, Diopsidae. The record is from RefSeq and is a predicted model, not a curated record. The transcript has 3 exons.
AAUUAAUGUAAUAAAAUUAUUUAUAUAAACGAAAUUUACUUUUGUUUAAAUAACUCCAAGUGACGCGCGUGAAGUAGUAGUGCAAAGAAUGUCCAACUAUUGAAGUAUGCUGUGGACGAGUGUGCUGGGAAAUGAUUCCAGAUGAUUCACCAACAACAAUAAAGCCAUUGUAUGUAAGUUGGAAAUUUGUACAAAAUUUCCAUCCUUACAGCUUCUAGUUUAUUCAGAAGUGGUGAUGAACUCUUCACAGAGAUUCAAAGAUCUUAAGAACUUUUUGCUCGAAAACUCCCAGUACUGCUUCAUCAUACAAUGAUCGUGUUCAUACUUCUGUACUAUACAAAAGAAAAAAUAGGAUAAACGACCUAAUGAGAAUAUUGAUUAAGUUGUAUUGUAUGUAAAUAGAGCACUACAUUCCAAUCGCCUUUUGUGCCCAUAGUAGCACAUAUUGGGAAUGUUAAUUCUUCAUCUGAUCUCUAUGUUAAUAUCGUUGUUGUUAGUCUAAAAAUUAUGUAAUUGAUUAAAAAAUUGUAUUACAUAAAAUUAUAAAUUGAUAAUUGAAAGUAGGAGGCAGAAUCAUGGAUUAUUGUUUUUGGAGAUAACUACAAAAUUUCGUGGUUUAUUAUCGGAUAACUGGAUAUACGUAUGUACCAUCAAAUUACCAUUAUUGCAAAAUAAUAUAAAUAAUAAACAUACAUUUUUCAUUGUUCGUUUGAAUAAUGUAUUUCAUGGUGCAAAUCAAUGCAUUACACAA